ACAGGUGGUGCAUGGUUGUCGUCAGCUCGUGUCGUGAGAUGUUGGUUAAGUCCGCAACGAGCGCAACCCCUAUUGUUAGUUGCCAUCAUUCAGUUGGGCACUCUAGCGAGACUGCCGGUAAUAAACCGGAGGAAGUGGGGAUGACGUCAAAUCAUCAUGCCCCUUAUGACCUGGGCUACACACGUGCUACAAUGGUUGGUACAACGAGUUGCGAGUCGGUGACGGCGAGCUAAUCUCUUAAAGCCAAUCUCAGUUCGGAUUGUAGGCUGCAACUCGCCUACAUGAAGUCGGAAUCGCUAGUAAUCGCGGAUCAGCACGCCGCGGUGAAUACGUUCCCGGGCCUU
Molecule: ribosomal RNA, 344 nt
Filed under: uncultured Streptococcus sp.
Lineage: Bacteria; Bacillati; Bacillota; Bacilli; Lactobacillales; Streptococcaceae
Description: bacterial SSU rRNA
Rfam family: Bacterial small subunit ribosomal RNA
Source: RNAcentral